RNAcentral lists this long non-coding RNA (1247 nucleotides) under Homo sapiens (human). RNAcentral describes it as "non-protein coding lnc-HS3ST3A1-6:1". The record is from RNAcentral. Lineage: Eukaryota; Metazoa; Chordata; Mammalia; Primates; Hominidae.
UCAACUGUGCUGGGGAUGGGUGACCUUAUUCCCUGCAUUGUUCAAGGGUCAACUAUAAUAGGUCAAUGGUCUGGAAAAUUCGAAGAGAAAAAGGGUGUAAGCAGGAGAUCCAUGUUCCAGGAGUAGGUCUACAUCACAGGUGUGAGUAAACUGAGAUACGUUCCUUGUAAGUAUCCUGUUAUUCAUCCAUGAAAUAGGAAAACAUAGCUAGCCACAAUGGUAGUUUAUUCUCAUUUCAAUGUUAGUUUUUAAGUUUCUAUAAUGAGUGAAUCCUAGAUAUAAACUAUGUAAAGAUAUAUAGCUUUUUAGAGAUCACACAAUGCUGCCAUAUAUACAAUGCUAUUUGAUCCUUACAAAAAAUAUUUGAGGAAGACAGUGCAGAAACCCCUAUUUUGCAGAUGAGAAAAGAUGGCUCCGAUGAAGGUGACUUAUCUAAGUUGGCAUGGACCAUUGUGGCAGAGCUGACUUGAACCCAAAUUUUCUGGUGUACAUUAUGAACUGAAUUCUGAUUCAGUUCAACAUGCAUUGACCCCACUGUAUACUAAGCUCUAGAAAUAAAAUAUGAGUAAGUUUCAGAUCUUUAAAUGCAGCCUAUGAGAAAAAACAGGUACUUUCUAUAAUAAAUUGAACCAUAUGACCAAUUGCUGUUUUUGUGGGCCAAAAAUGUCGAAUAUUGGUUAUUUCAUUUGAUUUAAUCAAAUAAUAUGUAAGUACUAUGAUAGCGGUAUAUUGAUAAGUUACUUUGUUGUUUUCCUUAUAUCUGGAAUUUCUGCUGCUCUCAACCAUUUUUAUCCUCUACUUUCUGAAGCAGUUGGCCUUGACAGAGGUGGCUAAAUGUCUACAUCACUUUAAUUCACAAGAAUACAUAUAUGCACGCUGGAUGACUGACGACCCUAGCAAUCCACACAGACUUCUUUCUUGCCUGAAUCAACACUCAAGUUCAUGUCUAAUACAGCAUUUCUUCUUGGCCUGUAAAUACAGGGAAUCAAUGGCUAAUGAGCAACUUCAUACAGGAUCUCUGAGGUUGUACAUAAUAAGUUGGACUACCCCAGACCUAAGGUACAUGGUAUUUCGAGACGUCAAGGACUGCAGAGUUCUGAUGGCUUAAAGAGUUAGGAAAAACCACUGAUUUGCCAGCCAAGAGGUCAUCUGUGACCUCAAGAUCUGCAGCAAUGGUGUAAGACUGAUAACUGGCAGCAAAAUAAAACAGCAGUACAUGAAAAAGGGUGGCUGUGUACCAAGCAUUG